GUGAGGAAUAUUGGUCAAUGGACGAGAGUCUGAACCAGCCAAGUCGCGUGAAGGAAGACGGUUCUAUGAAUUGUAAACUUCUUUUGUGCAGGAAUAAAGUGGGUUACGUGUAACCUUUUGUAUGUACUGUACGAAUAAGGAUCGGCUAACUCCGUGCCAGCAGCCGCGGUAAUACGGAGGAUCCGAGCGUUAUCCGGAUUUAUUGGGUUUAAAGGGUGCGUAGGUGGAUUGAUAAGUCAGCGGUGAAAGUUUGUAGCUUAACUGUAAAAUUGCCGUUGAAACUGUCGGUCUUGAGUGCAAAUGAGGUAGGCGGAAUGUGUUGUGUAGCGGUGAAAUGCUUAGAUAUAACACAGAACUCCGAUUGCGAAGGCAGCUUACUGGGAUGCAACUGACACUGAUGCACGAAAGCGUGGGUAUCAAACAGGAUUAGAAACCCUUGUAGUCC
RNAcentral lists this ribosomal RNA (445 nucleotides) under uncultured bacterium. RNAcentral's name for it is "partial 16S ribosomal RNA". It matches the Rfam family "Bacterial small subunit ribosomal RNA", at positions 354 to 796 of the family's 1533-position model. The record is from RNAcentral.